CUACGGGAUGCAGCAGUGAGGAAUAUUGCACAAUGGGGGGAACCCUGAUGCAGCAACGCCGCGUGGAGGAUGACGCAUUUCGGUGUGUAAACUCCUUUUAUAUGUCAAGAAAAUGACGGUAGCAUAUGAAUAAGCACCGGCUAACUCCGUGCCAGCAGCCGCGGUAAUACGGAGGGUGCAAGCGUUACUCGGAAUCACUGGGCGUAAAGGACGCGUAGGCGGGUUGGAAAGUCAGGUGUGAAAUCCUACAGCUUAACUGUAGAACUGCACUUGAAACUUCUAAUCUAGAGUAUGGGAGGGGGAGAUGGAAUUAGUGGUGUAGGGGUAAUAACCGUAGAUAUCACUAGGAAUACCUAAAGCGAAGGCGAUCUCCUGGAACAUUACUGACGCUAAGGCGUGAAAGCGUGGGGAGCAAACAGGAUUAGAUACCCCCGUAGUC
Molecule: ribosomal RNA, 439 nt
Filed under: uncultured bacterium
Lineage: Bacteria
Description: partial 16S ribosomal RNA
Rfam family: Bacterial small subunit ribosomal RNA
Source: RNAcentral